GGGCAUGCGCCCGUAGCUCAGCUGGAUAGAGCGUUGGCCUCCGGAGCCAAAGGUCGAAGGUUCAAAUCCUUUCGGGC
This 77-nucleotide transfer RNA is filed under the name Vibrio cholerae O395. RNAcentral describes it as "tRNA-Arg". It matches the Rfam family "tRNA". Rfam says of the family: Transfer RNA (tRNA) molecules are approximately 80 nucleotides in length. The record is from RNAcentral. Lineage: Bacteria; Pseudomonadati; Pseudomonadota; Gammaproteobacteria; Vibrionales; Vibrionaceae.